This is a long non-coding RNA of Homo sapiens (human), 1251 nucleotides long. The record is from Ensembl. NCBI's taxonomy places the organism in Eukaryota, Metazoa, Chordata, Mammalia, Primates, Hominidae.
CUCCCGCCCCUGGCCGCGACAGCACCCACAACUCCGAUCACUGCUCCUUCUUUUUCUGCGCUUUCCUUUCUCCCCCACAAGCUUCUGAUUCUUGGAACCAGGCUCGGUGACCUCACGCGAGUGACUUCAUAUCCGGGACUUUCUGGGAAUUCUCAGCAGCACUUUUUCUAAAAUGAGUUAAACAUUUUCAUGAGCUUCUAAAAGGAUUGUGGACCCUAGGCAGUGUUGCCCCCUGUGCCGGAUGGGUGAGUUGGCCCUGGGUAAAAUCAGAGCGAUGUGACACAGCCUGGAAAGAACAUGAAAGGACCUAGAGGAUAGAAUUCUCCCCUCCUGGAGGAGGCCAUAAACACAGGAACAGCUGCACAGGAAGGGCCUUGAAUGACCUAAGAAGUGUGGAUUUUAAGGCGACAGAGGUGGUGAGAAACUGCUGCAAGGCUGGAUUGGAGGACUGAUGGUUUGGGGGUGGCACUGGUGGUGGGGAGAGAAAUGAGGAGGCUGUUGCUAUGGUAGUCACAUGUUGGAGCUCACAAAUCAAUGUGGAAAUGAAGCAGGGGGCAAGGGGAAGACAUACUUGGGAAGCCGAAGCCCACUGAUAUGAGGCAGUAAUGCAGAGAGAAGCCUGGGCUAUCUUCUCUGGCUUGGGUGAAUGGCAGAUGCUGCUACCCCUCUUGGAAAAUAGGAAGACGGGAGGAGAACGUGUAUGUGCACCAGGACUUUGGGAAGAUCAAAUGGAAGGUCUUUCACAAAUAACAAAGCAAGGAGACUUCGAGUAACUUCACAGGCUUGUGGGCAGCUUCAGGGCCACCUCUUGCCCAGACCCUGCAAGUUGGGACACUUUCCUGCUCACUAUGGCCUGGAGGACAAAACCACCUCACUUGGACAUUUCCAGAAUAAAGAAUGGGGAAAAGCAGACUAGGUUUUCAAUACCCUUUCAGUAGAAAACUGCCCCAUAAACUCAUUGGCUACCUACUUCUUAAUCCCCAAUAACUGUUUUUAUGUGCGCAUCCCCACCCCCAUAAUAGGCUUGACUCCCACCCUCCAAUACAAACACUGGGCUUUCUCCAGAGCAGAUCAGGCCAAAAGCAAGGGCUGGGACAGGAAAUACACUUACAGGGAGAAGAGCUGGGUCUGAAUGACUCCUUGAAAGAUAAUCCUUCAUGUAUUCACUCUAAAACACGAAUCUAGCACUUACUAUGUGUUCUGGUACCAUUCUAGCACUGGGGAUGCAAUAAAAAUCAAAUAAGACGUGGU